Molecule: long non-coding RNA, 379 nt
Organism: Eleginops maclovinus (Patagonian blennie)
Lineage: Eukaryota; Metazoa; Chordata; Actinopteri; Perciformes; Eleginopidae
Exons: 4
Source: RefSeq, a predicted model, not a curated record
AAGCAGACAGGUGUUCCUGAUUGGUGUGGCUUUCCGAAACUGAGAGUGCGCAGAUUUGUCCAUUCAGUCAACCCGACCUCCCUGACUUGAGGUCAGAGGGAGCUGACAUGAUGUGGGAAGAAAGGACGGGAGGAGGAAAAGAUGUCUGCGAGGUGUCAGAGAAGAGGAGAGAAAAGGAGACAGGCCUUUUCCUUCCUGACAAAAUGAUGCAAGUGUUUGUGAAAGGAGGAGGGAGCCCAGUUCUGCUGCAGUUGCUGUCUCUGUCUUUCCUCAUCCUGCCUCUGAAGGGUUGAAGUCACGGUCAGGACCUUUAAAUGGGGUUGCCGUUCCUGUCUUUCCACCAAUCACAAGACCUGCUUUCGAGAAGUGCUGUUGCAAG